UACGUAGGGAGCAAGCGUUGUCCGGAAUCAUUGGGCGUAAAGCGCGCGUAGGUGGCCCCGUAAGUCCGCUGUGAAAGUCAAAGGCUCAACCUUUGAAAGCCGGUGGAUACUGUGGGACUAGAGUACGGAAGAGGCGAGUGGAAUUCCUGGUGUAGCGGUGGAAUGCGCAGAUAUCAGGAGGAACACCAGUGGCGAAGGCGACUUCCUGGCCUGUUCUUGACGCUGAGGCGCGAAAGCUAGGGGAGCAAACGGG
RNAcentral lists this ribosomal RNA (253 nucleotides) under uncultured bacterium. RNAcentral describes it as "partial 16S ribosomal RNA". It matches the Rfam family "Bacterial small subunit ribosomal RNA", at positions 524 to 776 of the family's 1533-position model. The record is from RNAcentral.